UUAGGAUUUGAUUAAGAUUUGGUUUAGGGUUUAGGAUUAGGGUUAAGAUUUGGUUAGGAUUUCAUUUAAGGUUGAGAUUUAGGAUUUGGUUAGGAUUUGAUUUAGGAUUAGGAUUUGGUUUAGGAUUUGGUUAGGAUUUAAGAUUUGGUUAAGAUUUGUUCAAGAUUUGAUUUAGAGUUUAGGAUUUAUUUGAAUUUAUUUAGGAUUUAAGUUUUAGUUAGUUUUUGACCUAAAGUUUGAAUGAAGUAAGAUUUUAACUAAGAUUAAAUUAAUAUUGAAUUGAGAUGUAUUUGAAAUAUGUUUGUAAUCAUUCUAAUAUUUCUUUAAAUUUUCUUAUUCUUUCUUUGGAAUUCCUUUGAGGUUUCUUUGAAUUUGAUUAAAGCUUGUUUAGCAUUGUUAGUGAUCUAUUAGAAUUAGGAUUUUGUUGUUGCAAUUUCCAUUCUACCUUCCACAGUUAGGUGCCCGAAGCAUUCUCAAGCAAGACUUCACGUAUUACGACAGCAUGCAAAUUGAACCCUAGAGGAUAUACUACAAGUAUUUA
RNAcentral lists this long non-coding RNA (541 nucleotides) under Physcomitrium patens. RNAcentral's name for it is "long non-coding RNA (PPAT_LNC013436)". Lineage: Eukaryota; Viridiplantae; Streptophyta; Bryopsida; Funariales; Funariaceae. The record is from RNAcentral.